AGCAGGACGGUGGCCAUGGAAGUCGGAAUCCGCCAAGGAGUGUGUAACAACUCACCUGCCGAAUGAAUUAGCCCUGAAAAUGGAUGGCGCUUAAGCGGGUGGCCGACACCACACCGUCUGGUAAAUGUUAUGUGAUCAGAUGAGUAGGAGGGCGUGGCGGGUGUGUCGAAGCGUGCAUGCAGAUGCGCGUGGAACAGCCGCUAGUGCAGAUCUUGGUGGUAGUAGCAAGUAUUCAAGCGAGAUCCUUGAAGGGCGAAGCGGGGAAGGGUUCCACGCGAACAUUGAUUGGGCGUGGGUGAGUCGUUCCUAAGCCGAGUGGCAAUUGCUAAGUAGCGGCGAAAGGGAAGCGGGUUGACAUUCCCGCACACGGAUGUGGAGGCGGUGACGCGCAUUGGGGCGAACACGCUGGCGACGGCGCUGGGCAGAGUUGUCUUUUCUGUUUGACCUACUUAGCGUGCUGUGUGGAAUCCGCUUGUUGGGAGAAACACGCACGUUGGGGCAGAGCGCCGGGGCUUUUCCGGCGUCCAGCUCGCCGUCGACGGCCCUUGAAACUUUGCCUGCUGAUAUUCUUUGUUGAAUUUAAGAUCCACGCCGUGGCGUACCGAUCACCGCAUCAGGUCCCCAAGGUGAACAGCCUCUGCUCAGUAUGAAAAAUGCAGGUAAG
Molecule: ribosomal RNA, 664 nt
Filed under: Dudresnaya ryukyuensis
Lineage: Eukaryota; Rhodophyta; Florideophyceae; Gigartinales; Dumontiaceae
Description: Dudresnaya sp. MH-2021 partial 28S rRNA
Rfam family: Eukaryotic large subunit ribosomal RNA
Source: RNAcentral